Molecule: ribosomal RNA, 538 nt
Filed under: uncultured archaeon
Lineage: Archaea
Description: bacterial SSU rRNA
Rfam family: Archaeal small subunit ribosomal RNA
Source: RNAcentral
CAGCCGCCGCGGUAAUACCGGCGGCUCGAGUGGUGGCCACUUUAUUGGGCUUAAAGCGUUCGUAGCUGGGUUAUUAAGUCCCUUGGGAAAUCCGACAGCUUAACUGUCGGGCGUCUAAGAGAUACUGGUAAUCUUGGAACCGGGAGAGGUGAGGGGGUACUUCGGGGGUAGGAGUGAAAUCCUGUAAUCCUCGAGGGACCACCUGUGGCGAAGGCGCCUCACCAGAACGGCUUCGACAGUGAGGGACGAAAGCUGGGGGAGCAAACCGGAUUAGAUACCCGGGUAGUCCCAGCCGUAAACGAUGUGCGUUAGGUGUAUCGGUGACCACGAGUCACCGAGGUGCCGAAGGGAAACCGUGAAACGUACCGCCUGGGAAGUACGGUCGCAAGGCUGAACUUAAAGGAAUUGGCGGGGGAGCACCACAACAGGUGGAGCCUGCGGUUUAAUUGGACUCAACGCCGGAAAUCUCACCGGAUAAGACAGCAGAAUGAUUGCCGGGCUGAAGACUCUGCAUGACUAGCUGAGGGGAGGUGCAUGG